This 858-nucleotide ribosomal RNA is filed under the name uncultured bacterium. RNAcentral's name for it is "bacterial SSU rRNA". It matches the Rfam family "Bacterial small subunit ribosomal RNA", at positions 26 to 896 of the family's 1533-position model. The record is from RNAcentral.
AGAGUGAACGCUGGCGGCGUGCUUAACACAUGCAAGUCGAACGAGAACGGGUUAUAGCUUGCUAUAACUGUCAGCUAAGUGGCGCACGGGUGAGUAAUAUAUAGGUAACAUGCCCCAAAGAAGAGGAUAACGUUUGGAAACGAACGCUAAUACUCUAUAUGCCUUUAAGUCAUAAGACUGCAAGGGAAAUAUUUAUAGCUUUGGGAUUGGCCUGUACAGUAUCAGCUAGUUGGUGAGGUAAUGGCUCACCAAGGCUAUGACGCUUAACUGGUUUGAGAGGAUGAUCAGUCACACUGGAACUGAGACACGGUCCAGACUCCUACGGGAGGCAGCAGUGGGGAAUAUUGCACAAUGGACGAAAGUCUGAUGCAGCAACGCCGCGUGGAGGAUGACACAUUUCGGUGCGUAAACUCCUUUUAUAUAGGAAGAUAAUGACGGUACUAUAUGAAUAAGCACCGGCUAACUCCGUGCCAGCAGCCGCGGUAAUACGGAGGGUGCAAGCGUUACUCGGAAUCACUGGGCGUAAAGAGCGUGUAGGCGGGUUAAUAAGUUGGAAGUGAAAUCCUAUGGCUCAACCAUAGAACUGCUUUCAAAACUGUUGACCUAGAAUAUGGGAGAGGUAGAUGGAAUUUCUGGUGUAGGGGUAAAAUCCGUAGAGAUCAGAAGGAAUACCGAUUGCGAAGGCGAUCUACUGGAACAUUAUUGACGCUGAGACGCGAAAGCGUGGGGAGCAAACAGGAUUAGAUACCCUGGUAGUCCACGCCCUAACGAUGCACACUAGUUGUUGCCUUGCUCGACAAGGCAGUAAUGCAGUUAACACAUUAAGUGUGCCGCCUGGGGAGUACGGUCGCAAGAUUA